RNA transcript from Mesocricetus auratus (golden hamster), 3078 nucleotides. It is a transcript of the gene named TRAF3 interacting protein 2, with no coding region annotated. The record is from RefSeq and is a predicted model, not a curated record. The transcript is spliced from 7 exons. NCBI's taxonomy places the organism in Eukaryota, Metazoa, Chordata, Mammalia, Rodentia, Cricetidae.
AGAGGACAUAGCAGGGGAUGGACGCGGGGAAAAGACCUGAGCAGAGCCGAUGGCGCUCAAGGAGACUGGCUGUGCUGUGUGCAGAGACAGGCGGGACGAGGAGCGUGCCAAUUCUAUGACAGAAACUAGAAUGAACCGAAGCAUUCCUGUGGAGGUUGACGAAUCAGAACCAUUCCCAAGUCAAUUGCUGAAACCAAUCCCAGAAUAUUCCCUGGAAGAGGAAUUGGAACCACCUGCUCCAAAUACGAGGUCCAUGGCACCCAGCAGCCUGCCUGCACUCCAAGCCCCUCACCAUGCUUCAGGGGACCUUUAUCAGGCUGACCCUUCCCUGAAACUUGCAAAUCACCGGCCUGUGUCACAACAGGUUACCUGCCUGCGCACUAAAGUCUUGGAGGAGAGUGAAGCCAGUUUCUUUAGAAGGCAUCCUGAUCCUGGCAAAGGUGUUUGCUCAUGCUCGUCCGAAGCCAGCGAGCCUGAGUCUGAGCUCGGAGCCCUCCCUCCAGAGCACAGGCUUUCACUUAUGGAGAAACGCAAUAGAUGCCUGGGACCACAGCUUUCAGCAGCUUCUCCCGACACGGGCCAUGACUCAGACAAAUCAGACCCAAGUUUUUCUAAUGUUCUGGUAGACUCCUCCAGCGGCGGCCAAGAGACGUUACCUCGGCCCCGGCCCCACAGGAACAGAGCAGCCCCAGAUGUGCCCACGAUAGACACUGGGUAUGAUUCCCAGCCCCAGGACGUCCUGGGCAUCAGGCAGUUGGAAAGGCCACUGCCCCUCACCUCCACGUGUUACCUGCAGGACCUCCCUGGGCCUCUGAGGUCCAGAGAGUUCCCUCAGCUUGAACUUCAGAGGUACCCAGCAUAUACACAGAGGCUGCCUCUCAAUCCUUCCCCACAGGCUCCAUGGAACUAUCAGUAUCAUUGUCCCGGAGGACCCUAUCACCAGGCGCCAUAUGCUCACGGCUACCCUCCAGCAGCCUACCAGCAAGUCAUCCAGCCUGCUCUGCCUGGGCAAGCCCUUCCUGGGGCAAGAGUGAGAGGCCUGCAUCCUGUACAGAAGGUCAUCCUGAAUCACCCCAGCCCCCAGGACCACGGAGAGAGGCUUGCACAGAGAGACUUCUCUUCCCCAAGGCUCCCAAGGAAUCAGCACUAUCACCCACCAUCUAGUGGAGCUAGGGCUCCCGAGACGUCCCUGGACCAUCCUGCAGAGCUGAGACCACAGGGUCCCCAGGCUCCAUCCCCAGCUGCUGUGCCUAGACCCCCUAGCAACCCCCUAGCCCGAGGAACUCUAAAAACUAGCAAUUUGCCAGAGGAAUUACGGAAAGUCUUUAUCACUUAUUCUAUGGACACAGCCAUGGAGGUGGUGAAAUUCGUGAACUUUUUGUUGGUGAAUGGCUUCCAAACUGCAUUCUGAAGGCUGGAAGGCCAAGAACACGGCUGAAACAAGACUGGUUUCAUCUGGGAUCCUCUCCCUUGGCUUGAGAUGGCCAUCCCCUCUCUGUUCUCACAUGGUCCUCCCCUGAGUGUGCACGGGCCUACAUGCAAAUUUUCUCUUCCUCCAUGAACACCAAUCCUAUGGGAAUGGGGCCCACCCAGUACCUCAUUUUACCUGAAUUAUCUUCUGAGAGGCCCUGUCUCCAAAUCCAGUCACAUUAUAAGUGGCCAAAAUGGGUGAGAGUCAGAUAAUGUGAAGGGGACGUCAGUGUGACUUACAGGUAAUGUGAAGGGGACGCCAGUGUGACUUACAGGUAACGUGAAGGGGACACCAGUGUGACUUACAGGUAACGUGAAGGGGACACCAGUGUGACUUACAGGUAACGUGAAGGGGACGUCAGUGUGACUUACAGGUAAUGUGAAGGGGAAGUCAGUGUGACUCACAGGUAAUGUGAAGGGGAAGUCAGUGUGACUUACAGGUAAUGUGAAGGGGACGUCAGUGUGACUUACAGGGCGGAGGGGCAUGCACUGUGCUGCAAGGGUCCAAGGGAAGUAAUGUGGGGAGUGAAGUAGACAGAGCAUGUGGGGAAAAGACAGUAGCUGGCUCAGGAUGCUUGAUGAAUAGUGAAGACUUGGUUUGGUCAGGUCUAAACAGCAGUGUAACACUAGGAAAAUAACUAUGGGAGCAGUGAGGCUAAUCAAAGAACCCUUCCCCAAAGGUCUUCUCAUGUUCCUACUCUAGUAUAUUAUCCAUUCACUCUUCUAAUCAGGAGUGCCUAGUAUGUGUAACACACACACACACACACACACACACACACACACACACACGAGAGAGAGAGAGACAGACGAGAGAGAGAGAGAGAGAGAGAGAGAGAGAGAGAGAGAGAGAGAGAGAGAGAGAGAGAGAGAGAGAGAGAGAGAGAGAGAGACUUGGGCCUCUAUAAGACAAAAGAUCUGAUUUUUCUGCUCUUCUAAUACCUAAAGGAGUUUUACCUUUGAUCUUAUCUUAUCAAAACCCCAGAGUUCUCCUUGACUUUCAUCCUAACACCUCCCUACCAGCUCAGUGAUUGUUUUUGUGACUGUUCUUUGGAUUUCACCCAAGUUUCAUACAAUCCUUUUGAAAUGUGUAAGUGAAGCUGGACAUGAUCCUAUAAUCAUGACCUGGUAAACAUGGGUCAGACACUACAGUUGUGUCUCAGCAUUUGCACACUACAGAUCCACUGAAGUGGAUCCACACAGAAUCUUCCUUUCAGUUUUUCAAAUUACAGAUACAUAAAAGUACUAUUUCUGUCUUCCUUGCUUACAUCCAAUUUAGUGAUAUACUGUGUCCUUCAGAUUUUUGAACAUAUAAUUAUUGUAUAGCUGCAGACACAUUUUGAUAUGAACCACUAUAUCUUAAUUAUGGAUAUUAGAAACUUAAAUGUCUGCGGAUAUUGAAAUGGGGUGUAUUUCAUGAAACUGUGUUUCAUUGUUUGGACUCCUGCAUCCCUCCUAAAAUAGAGCACUAGUUUUAGAGUUGCAGAAGUACAUUAGCUUCUUAUGUUCUUGAGCUCUGUACCCAGGGAAAGCUCUUAUUAAGAACCCUUCCUCUCAUCCUUUUCUUCUAGAUUGACAUAUUUGAGGAUAGAAUCCGGGGUAUUGAUAUCA